AUGGCGCUGAUCUACGCAACCACUAGCGAGGACAACGACAAUCCGGCCAUUCCGUCAGAUAUCCAAGCAGUUUUGGAAGAAUUAGACGAUGUGUUCAAAGAGCCUAAGGGAUUGCCGCCUCGCUGUGACUGCGAUCACAAGAUUCCGCUUAUUCCAGGGGCGCAACCUGUGAACAUCAGGCCUUACAGACACAAGCCCGAGCAUAAGAAGGAGAUAGAUGCUCAAGUUGAGGAGCUGCUCCGCAAGGGUGUCAUUCAGAAAAGCAACAGUCCAUUCUGCUCCCCUGUGAUCCUGGUCAAAAAGAAGGACGGAACAUGGCGACUCUGCAUCGACUACAGACACCUCAACGCCCUCACCUAUGUAGCCAAGUACCCGGUGCCGAUCAUCGAAGAACUACUCGAUGAACUGCAUGGUGCAGCCUGGUUCUCCAAACUGGACCUCCGCUCCGGGUACCAUCAGAUUCGCCUGGCGGAGGGCGAAGAGUACAAGACUGCAUUUCAAACGCAUUCAGGGCAUUACGAGUUCCUCGUGGUCUCUUUUGGACUAGCAGGCGGACCAGCCACAUUCAACGGCGCCCUGACCACCACACUCAAGCCAGUCGACCGCAAGUGUGUGCUCCUUUUCUUCGAUGACAUACUGGUCUUCAGCAAGACUCUUGAAGAUCACAUCACCCACCUCCGUCAGGUUCUGCAGCUGCUGCGUCGUGAUCAAUGGCACGUGAAGAGGUCCAAGUGUGAAUUCGCUCAGCACAGUCUAUCAUACUUGGGUCAUGUCAUCAGUAGCGAAGGAGUGUCAACUGACCCAACCAAGAUACACGCCGUGGCAAACUGGGAAACACCAACGGAUGUCAAGGCAGUACGCAGUUUCUUGGGGCUUGCAGGGUACUAUCGGCGAUUCGUCAAGAAUUUUGGCGUCAUAGCACGGCCCCUGUUCAAUCUGCUGAAGAAAGGAGCACCUUUCGUGUGGACUCCUGCAACGGAUACUGCUUUCCAACUACUGAAGCGACACCUGAUCGAAGCUCCUGUGCUCGCUCUGCCCAACUUCACCAACCCGUUUGUGAUCGAGACUGAUGCCUGCGAUAAGGGAAUAGGCGCAAUUCUCCAGCAGGGUGGCCAUCCGAUCGCAUACAUGAGCAAAGCAUUGAGCCCACGCUACCAAGGCCUCUCGACAUAUGAGAAGGAGUACCUGGCAGUCAUCGUAGCUGUGGACCAAUGGCGCCCUUACCUUCAGCAUGCAGAGUUCACUAUCCUCACCGACCAGUGGAGCUUGAUACACUUGACAGAACAACGGCUCACUACACCAUGGCAGCAACGAGCCUUCAUGAAGCUAUUGGGGCUCCAGUAUACCAUCAAAUACAAGAAAGGGGCAGAGAACACAACAGCCGAUGCCCUGUCAAGGUCCAACACUGAAGAAGUACUGCACACCAUCAGCGUGUGUCAACCAGCUUGGCUAGAGGACAUUGUCAACAGCUACAAUACCAACCCGCAAGCGCAACGCCUCCUGGAGCAACUAGCUGUGCGGGAGGACCCCAAAGGGUGA
RNAcentral lists this ribosomal RNA (1539 nucleotides) under Triticum aestivum (bread wheat). RNAcentral describes it as "partial small subunit ribosomal RNA". The record is from RNAcentral. Lineage: Eukaryota; Viridiplantae; Streptophyta; Magnoliopsida; Poales; Poaceae.